GCCUCCUUGAAAGCCGUCAAAUGGGUGCCCCGCCUUCCACUCAGAAUUCCUUCGGAGGAACACGGGCGGGCCGGCCGGGGUGCGUGCCUUUCGUCUGGCUCAGGACAGCAGCCGGAGUGGAAGCCACCAGCGCCCAGGAAUCGUGUGACUCCGAGGCUAAGUAGACGGCAUUCCGAUCAGAUGCAACAAACAGAUGCUGGGACCAGAGGCUGCACAGUCAAUAAAAGGAAAGUUAUAAAAUCUAUAGAACUGCCGAGAAAUCAGAAUUUCGGCAAACUCCAGGGUUUUCCCUAGCUGCUCUGAGGGGCUGCGGGCGAGGGGCGGUGGUGCGGAGACUGCCCCUGGCGUGAGCGCGCCCCGCGGCUGCGGCCGGGACAGCGUGAGGACGCGGCCACGCCAGCCGUGACAAUGACGAAGGGGACACGGAGGAUGCUGUCCGUCCUACAGACGGCGCUGCCACAAUCGGUUACCAUCUAGCUUUUUGUCAGGAUGGCGGAGGCGAUGGCUCUUUAGGCUGCAAUGUGCGUCUUCAAAGUGAUUUUGUAAGCUAUUGAAACGACGCUCCCUUGUUACAACUCCACGUCACUUCACUAUGCAAACCAUCCCCUGAUGCAGGGCUAGGCAAACGCCGCAUCAAACUGGUUCUCCCCAUAUUUGGAUGAAAUGCGAUGUUGGCUGCAGCGAUGAGAAGACGCCGAUGCAGCAGGUGUCGGUGCCCAUUCGCCUGGCGCCCUGAGG
Eptesicus fuscus (big brown bat) is the source of this 738-nucleotide long non-coding RNA. RefSeq lists it as uncharacterized. The record is from RefSeq and is a predicted model, not a curated record. The transcript has 3 exons. NCBI's taxonomy places the organism in Eukaryota, Metazoa, Chordata, Mammalia, Chiroptera, Vespertilionidae.